CCUACGGGUGGCUGCAGUGGGGAAUCUUGCGCAAUGGCCGAAAGGCUGACGCAGCGACGCCGCGUGGAGGAUGACGCCCUUCGGGGUGUAAACUCCUGUUGCCCGGGACGAAUGCCUGUUUCGACAGGAGUGACGGUACCGGGUGAGGAAGCACCGGCUAACUCUGUGCCAGCAGCCGCGGUAAUACAGAGGGUGCGAGCGUUGUCCGGAAUCACUGGGCGUAAAGGGGGCGUCGGGGGCGCGGUAAGGGGACAGUCCGGGGCUCAACCCCGGAUCGGCCAUGCGAACUGCCGCGCUGGAGCACGGUAGAGGCACAUGGAAUUCCGGGUGUAGCGGUGGAAUGCGUAGAGAUCCGGAAGAACACCGGUGGCGAAGGCGGUGUGCUGGGCCGUUGCUGACACUGAGGCGCGACAGCGUGGGGAGCAAACAGGAUUAGAUACCCCUGUAGUC
RNAcentral lists this ribosomal RNA (450 nucleotides) under uncultured bacterium. RNAcentral's name for it is "partial 16S ribosomal RNA". It matches the Rfam family "Bacterial small subunit ribosomal RNA", at positions 338 to 795 of the family's 1533-position model. The record is from RNAcentral.